This 162-nucleotide unclassified non-coding RNA is filed under the name soil metagenome. RNAcentral's name for it is "partial internal transcribed spacer 1". The record is from RNAcentral.
CAGAGUUGCAAGACUCCCUAAACCAUUGUGAAACCUACCUUCUACCGUUGCUUCGGCGGGCGGGCCCAGCGCCCCCCCCCGGCCCCCCGCGGGCGCCCGCCGGAGGAUACCCAAACUCUUGACAUUAGUGGCCUCUCUGAGUAUUCUUUACUGAAUAAGUCA